GACGAACGCUGGCGGCGUGCUUAACACAUGCAAGUCGAACGGAAAGGCCCUGCUUUUGUGGGGUGCUCGAGUGGCGAACGGGUGAGUAACACGUGAGUAACCUGCCCUUGACUUUGGGAUAACUUCAGGAAACUGGGGCUAAUACCGGAUAGGAGCUCCUGCUGCAUGGUGGGGUUGGAAAGUUUCGGCGGUUGGGGAUGGACUCGCGGCUUAUCAGCUUGUUGGUGGGGUAGUGGCUUACCAAGGCUUUGACGGGUAGCCGGCCUGAGAGGGUGACCGGCCACAUUGGGACUGAGAUACGGCCCAGACUCCUACGGGAGGCAGCAGUGGGGAAUAUUGCACAAUGGUCGGAAGCCUGAUGCAGCAACGCCGCGUGCGGGAUGACGGCCUUCGGGUUGUAAACCGCUUUCGCCUGUGACGAAGCGUGAGUGACGGUAAUGGGUAAAGAAGCACCGGCUAACUACGUG
This 467-nucleotide ribosomal RNA is filed under the name uncultured bacterium. RNAcentral's name for it is "partial 16S ribosomal RNA". It matches the Rfam family "Bacterial small subunit ribosomal RNA", at positions 28 to 507 of the family's 1533-position model. The record is from RNAcentral.